GAGGUUGUGGCUCAGUAGUUGAGUGCUCGCCUAGCACAUGUGAGGCACUGGGUUCGAUCCCCAGCACCACA
RNAcentral lists this transfer RNA (71 nucleotides) under Marmota monax (woodchuck). RNAcentral's name for it is "tRNA.Ala". Lineage: Eukaryota; Metazoa; Chordata; Mammalia; Rodentia; Sciuridae. The record is from RNAcentral.